GACGAACGCUGGCGGCGUGCUUAACACAUGCAAGUCGAACGGAAAGGCCCUGCUUGCAGGGUGCUCGAGUGGCGAACGGGUGAGUAACACGUGGGUGAUCUGCCCCUUACUUUGGGAUAAGCCUGGGAAACUGGGUCUAAUACUGGAUAGGACCAUGCUGUAGGUGGUGUGGUGGAAAGAUUAGUUUCGGUAAGGGAUGAGCUCGCGGCCUAUCAGCUUGUUGGUGGGGUAAUGGCCUACCAAGGCGUCGACGGGUAGCCGGCCUGAGAGGGUGGACGGCCACAUUGUGACUGUGAUACGGCCCAGACUCCUACGGGAGGCAGCAGUGGGGAAUAUUGCACAAUGGGCGCAAGCCUGAUGCAGCGACGCCGCGUGGGGGAUGACGGCCUUCGGGUUGUAAACUCCUUUCAGCCAUGACGAAGCCCUUGUGGUGACGGUAGUGGUAGAAGAAGCACCGGCUAACUACGUG
This 469-nucleotide ribosomal RNA is filed under the name uncultured bacterium. Its description in RNAcentral is "partial 16S ribosomal RNA". It matches the Rfam family "Bacterial small subunit ribosomal RNA", at positions 28 to 507 of the family's 1533-position model. The record is from RNAcentral.